GACGAACGCUGGCGGCGUGCUUAACACAUGCAAGUCGAACGGGCCUUGACCCCUUUUUUUUGGGGGUGGGGUUAGUGGCGAACGGGUGAGUAACACGUGAGUAACCUGCCCCUCACUUCUGGAUAACCGCUUGAAAGGGUGGCUAAUACGGGGUGUUCUGGCCUGCUCGCAUGGGUGGGUUUGGAAAGAUUCGACCGGUUUUGGUUGUUUUGGUGGGGGAUGGGCUCGCGGCCUAUCAGCUUGUUGGUGGGGUGAUGGCCUGCCAAGGCUUUGACGGGUAGCCGGCCUGAGAGGGUGGGCGGUCACACUGGGACUGAGACACGGCCCAGACUCCUACGGGAGGCAGCAGUGGGGAAUAUUGCACAAUGGGCGCAAGCCUGAUGCAGCGACGCCGCGUGAGGGAUGGAGGCCUUCGGGUUGUGAACCUCUUUCGCCAGUGAAGAAGGUCCUGCUCUUUGUGGUGGGGUUGACGGUAGCUGGGUUAAUGAAGCGCCGGCUAACUACGUG
RNAcentral lists this ribosomal RNA (507 nucleotides) under uncultured bacterium. RNAcentral describes it as "partial 16S ribosomal RNA". It matches the Rfam family "Bacterial small subunit ribosomal RNA", at positions 28 to 507 of the family's 1533-position model. The record is from RNAcentral.